CGGAGGAGUUAGCGAAAUUCCAAUGUGUGCGGAUCGGCAAAAAAUGCGAAAUAACCCUUUAACCGUACAUUUGACAGAUACGCCCGCACUGACUUUUUUGUAGAUCUUAUUGAGAUACAUGUGUGUGUCAAUUUUUGUGUCAAUAUGACAAAGCGUACAGGCGUGACAGUCAAUAGUGUGAAUUUUCACCUUAGGGGGCGCUAUGGAGCCAUUUUGCAUUUUAUUGUUUGGGCGACUUCAGAAUAUCGAAUUUUUCACCAGGCCCGGUUGUCCUGCCAAAUUUCAUGAGUUUUCGCCAGUGGGAAGUGGGCCAUUUUCCAGUUCAAAGGGGAGGAAAAAGAAGAAAGAAAGAAAGAACUAGGGCCCCGUUGGGGCACUGGCGGGCCCGAGCCGUGUCGCACCCCCCCCCCCCCCCCCAACGCGCUGCCUCCCCGUCCCAUUCGUGUCCUCUGGCCAUCGCCCUCUCUGGUAACGCCCAUCACUGCAAAGACCCUUUUCCUUCAUCGGCGUUUGCUGUUCUUCCUGCCAGUGCGUGUUGCUUUCACUUACACUUGCCACAGCCAGCCUCGUGAGUGCCUAGCCUAUUGGAUAUCACUGUCACCUACACAGGACAGUCAUUACCUUUCUAUUAAUACUUUGUUUUUAAUUUCACAUUAAUUUCCAUAUUGUAUAAACAACUGGAAAAAACUUGAGCCCCUGCCCCUGUAUUAUCAUGUGCACGUCCCUGUUCUAGCUCCAAGGUGAAUCUUCACGGCUCAUGUUCUCCUCAGAAGCAGUCACCUCACUCCCCUCAGGUUACUGUACACAUGCACCAACUGCCUGCUUCAGGUUUGGAUGGAGCUUCAUGGUUGUCUUUUGGAGAAAUGAGCAGUCAAGUUGUGUUUGAAAUUUGAUUUUUUUCAGGGGCAAAAGGAAGCCUCUGCAUUCUUGUCAAAUAUGUAAAUAGCAUGUUUUUGCAGGUGCUAAAAAACAGACUCUGAGUGUGUGUGUGUGUGUGUGUGUGUGUGUGUGUGUGUGUGUGUGUGUGUGUGUGUGUGUGUGUGUGUGUGUGUGUGUGUGUGUGUGUGUGUGUAUCCUGCAGUACUCUGAGAAGAAUAAUAAGCAUAUUUCUGAGGUGAAUUUUGAAGAUUCAUCUGAGAGUUAGGUUUGAUUCGAUUCGAUUGACGCUCCCCAGCGUUCAAGUCACAUGACAUAUUUAACCGGAUGUAGCUGCAAUACGGAGCCUCGUUAACUCUCCGUUUCAACUUAUCUCAAAAGUGAGGACCUCAACCUAUAUACCAGUUUUUAAAUUGUGUUGAUAGGCCAAAUAAAACCAGAGUUAUGAUAAAUUAUGUCCGCGAUACUUUUUUUCUGCUUAUUUUGAUCACGUUCGGCGCUCGAUCGCGCUGUAUGAGACAGGAAAACAUAGCAUGCACACAUUAGCGACAGGUCUUACAGGCGGAAAAGGCUUGCCAAAAGAAAAAAAAACACACCACAACAUCUCUCCUAUUGGUGGAAAACUUCACCACAACAACCAAUCCAAAAUUAUAUGGUGACUGAUUGACAAGGGGCGGGCGCUUACGUUCUUCCUGCAACAUGAGAAGGGAGGGAGGGACUCUCAGCAGGGAUGCAGUCUGGGACACGUAGUUGCAAACCUAGCGACUUUGUUGUUAGAUUCAAUUACUUUUCAGACCCCCUAACGACUUUUUUUUGAAAGAAAGGGACUUUUAUCGACUUCUUCUGGAGUUUAGAGACUCUGACAUGAAGCAGGCUUUCCUUACUGAGGAGUUAGCAACGCUGCUAAGGGUGCAGAGCCACACAUGCGCUCCGAGCUCUGCAUGGGAGACUGAAGCUGACAGAGCUGCAGCAGUUAGCAGGUUUCACCCUCAGAGACCACCAGGGGUUCAUGUUGAGGCAUUUUCAGUUUUUGUUUUUUUUGCCAUAGACUGUCAGCACAAUCUGCAGUUACACUAACAAAAAUGCUGCAAAAAACAAAGAAUUAUGGAAAAAUUACACAUGGACUGACAUAGAGGAGGAUCUACACAAGUUUUUUACAUCAUGUUUUACAUCAUGCAUCAUUUACAUCAUGUUUUUUUGUAGUGGCAUAAAUAAAAAGUGACAUUUGUGAGACUAUACAGUGUUUUGUAAAUAAUUUUACAAAGAACGCCUGGGCCGUUGCCUGCAUUUUGAUGUAAAUAGAGGUAAAUUACUAUGUUCUUUGUUAAAAAUUUGCAUAUGUUUUGAAGUUUACAAUUUUUAUUUGAAGUUUAAGUUUUAAAAACAGUUCAUCACACAUAUUUGUGGUUUAAUUUCACAUUAAUUUCCAUAUUGUAUAAAUGACUGGAAAAAACUUGAGCCCCUGCCCCUGUAUAAUCAUGUGCACGUCCCUGUUCUAGCUCCAAGGUGAAUCUUCACUUCUCAUGUUCUCCUCAGAAAUAGUCACCUCACUCCCCUCAGGUUACUGUACACAUGCACCAACUAUCUGCUUCAGGUUUGGAUGGAGCUUCCUGGUUGUCUUUUGGAGAAAUUAACAGUCAAGUUGUGUUUGAAAUCUAAUUUUUUUCAGGGGCAAAAGGAAGCCUCUGCAUUCUUGUCAAAUAUGUAAACAGCAUGUUUUUGCAGGUGCUAAAAAACAGACUCUGAGUGUGUGUGUGUGUGUGUGUGUGUGUGUGUGUAUGUGUGUGUAUCCUGCAGUACUCUGUACUCCUGCAGUGGCCAAAAAGACUUUUAAGAAUGUGGAUUUUUGGGUCAUCUUUGGCGCCCCCUAGAACUGCAGUACUCUGUACUCCUGCAGUGGCCAAAAUGACUUUUAAGAAUGUGGAUUUUUGGGUCAUCUUUGGCGCCCCCUAGAACGUAAACCGUGGGGUGCAGCAUCAUGAUUUUUACAACUUUGAAUGGGCAUGGGGUGUAGAUUGCCCUGAGCAAAUUUGGUAUCGGUGGGACGAAAGUCUUAGGAGGAGAUAGCCACAUUCCAAUGUGUGCGAAUCGGCAAAAAAUGCGAAAUAGCCCUUUAACCGUACAUUAUACAGAUACGCGCUUUUUGACUUUUUCGUAGAUCUAAUUGAGAUACACAUGAUUGUCAAUUUUUGUGUCAAUAUGACAAAGCGUUCAGGCGUGACACUCAACAAUGUGUAUUUUCAUGUAAGGGGACAAGAAAAAAAGGACUUUUUUCUCCUGCCAUGGGGGGGCGCUCUUUUGGGGAGUAAAAAUUCCUUCACAAAUGUGUUGAUGGCUGGACAUUGCAUCAUCCUAGAAAACUUGGAGGGCAGUGAGGACAAAAAUAAAAAGUUAUAAGACUUUUAAGAAUGUGGAUUUUGGGUUAUCUUUGGCGCCCCCUAGAACGUAAACCGUGGGGUGCAGCGUCAUGAUUUGUACAACUUUUAAUGGCCAUGGGGGGUAGAUUGGCCUGCGCAAAUGUGGUGCCGGUCGAACGAAAGCCUUCGGAGGAGUUAGCGAAAUUCCAAUGUGUGCAGAUCUGCAAAAAAUGCAAAAUAACCCAUUAACCGUACAUUUGACAGAUACGCCCGCACUGACUUUUUUGUAGAUCUUAUUGAGAUACAUGUGUGUGUCAAUUUUUGUGUCAAUAUGACAAAGCGUACAGCCGUCAUGUGAAUUUUCACCUUAGGGGGCGCUAUGGAGCCAUUUUGCAUUUUAUUGUUUGGGCGACUUCAGAAUAUCGAAUUUUUCACCAGGCCCGGUCGUCCUGCCAAAUUUCCUGAGUUUUCGCCAGUGGGAAGUGGGCCAUUUUCCAGUUUAAAGCGGAGGAAAAAUAAUAACGAAAGAAGGAAACAUGCAGGAACAAGAGGGCUCUCGCAGCUGCUUAGCAGCUACGCUCGGGCCCUAAAGAAAGAAAGAAACA
Molecule: non-coding RNA, 3838 nt
Organism: Xyrichtys novacula (pearly razorfish)
Lineage: Eukaryota; Metazoa; Chordata; Actinopteri; Labriformes; Labridae
Source: the annotation of a GenBank genome assembly